GGUGAACGCUGGCGGUGUGCCUAAAACAUGCAAGUCGAGCGGAAUCUUCGGAUUUAGCGGCGAACGGCGGAGUAAGACAUAAAUAACAUACCCUAAAGACUGGGAUAGCCAACCGAAAGGUUGAGUAAUACCAGAUGUGGUUGUUAAAAGGCAUCUUUUAAACAUUAAACGGAUUUAUUCGCUUUAGGAAUGGUUUGUGAUAUAUCAGCUAGUUGGUAGGGUAAUGGCUUACCAAGGCUACGACGUAUAGGGGGUCUGAGAGGAUGAUCCCCCCGAGUGGGACUGAGACACGGCCCACACACCUACGGGUGGCAGCAGUUAGGAAUCUUGCACAAUGGGGGAAACCCUGAUGCAGCGACACCGCGUGGAGGAUGAAGGCUCUAGGGUUGUAAACUCCUUUUGACAGGAAAGACUUAGGACGGUACCUGUCGAAUAAGCUCCGGCUAACUACGUGCCAGCAGCCGCAGUAAAAC
Molecule: ribosomal RNA, 473 nt
Filed under: uncultured bacterium
Lineage: Bacteria
Description: bacterial SSU rRNA
Rfam family: Bacterial small subunit ribosomal RNA
Source: RNAcentral